GUGCUUACACAUGCAAGUCGAGCGAUGAAGUUUCUUCGGAAAUGAAUUAGCGGCGAACGGGUGAGGAACACGUGAAGAAUCUGCCCUCCACUUUGGGAUAACACCGGGAAACCGGUGCUAAUACUGAAUAUUGAAACAUAAGUGGCAUCACUGAGUUUUGAAAGAAUUUCGGUGGAGGAUGACUUCGCGGCCUAUCAGCUAGUUGGUGAGGUAAUGGCUCACCAAGGCAACGACGGGUAGCCGGCCUGAGAGGGCGACCGGCCACACUGGGACUGAGACACGGCCCAGACUCCUACGGGAGGCAGCAGUGGGGAAUAUUGGGCAAUGGAGGAAACUCUGACCCAGCGACGCCGCGUGCGGGAUGAAGGCCUUCGGGUUGUAAACCGCUUUCAGUAGGGAAGAAGCGAAAGUGACGGUACCUACAAAAGAAGCACCGGCUAACUAUGUGCCAGCAGCCGCGGUAAUACAUAGGGUGCAAGCGUUGUCCGGAAUUAUUGGGCGUAAAGAGCUCGUAGGUCGUUUGUCGCGUCGAUUGUGAAAAUCUGAGGCUCAACCUCAGACCUGCAGUCGAUACGGGCAAACUAGAGUGUGGUAGGGGAGACUGGAAUUCCUGGUGUAGCGGUGGAAUGCGCAGAUAUCAGGAGGAAC
Molecule: ribosomal RNA, 648 nt
Filed under: uncultured Actinomycetes bacterium
Lineage: Bacteria; Bacillati; Actinomycetota; Actinomycetes
Description: bacterial SSU rRNA
Rfam family: Bacterial small subunit ribosomal RNA
Source: RNAcentral